UAGUUAUCAAGAAAGGCGGAGGGAUUAGACCCAAUGAAGCCUUAGCAACCCUUUGUUCAUACAAAGAAGGUGCUAAAUUCUACCAAGUACAUCGGUACUAUAGGCAGAUAACGA
RNAcentral lists this non-coding RNA (114 nucleotides) under Cellulophaga lytica. Its description in RNAcentral is "SAM-I sequence". It matches the Rfam family "SAM riboswitch aptamer (S box leader)". Rfam says of the family: The SAM riboswitch is found upstream of a number of genes which code for proteins involved in methionine or cysteine biosynthesis in Gram-positive bacteria. The SAM riboswitch acts at the level of transcription termination control. RNAcentral also lists the same sequence under 1 other name. The record is from RNAcentral. Lineage: Bacteria; Pseudomonadati; Bacteroidota; Flavobacteriia; Flavobacteriales; Flavobacteriaceae.